AUUGAACGCUGGCGGCAUGCCUUACACAUGCAAGUCGAACGGUAACGCGGGGCAACCUGGCGACGAGUGGCGAACGGGUGAGUAAUGCAUCGGAACGUGCCCAGUAGUGGGGGAUAGCCCGGCGAAAGCCGGAUUAAUACCGCAUACGACCUACGGGUGAAAGGGGGGGAUCGCAAGACCCCUCGCUGUUGGAGCGGCCGAUGUCAGAUUAGGUAGUUGGUGGGGUAAAGGCCCCCAAAGCCUGCGAUCUGUAGCUGGUCUGAGAGGACGACCAGCCACACUGGGACUGAGACACGGCCCAGACUCCUACGGGAGGCAGCAGUGGGGAAUUUUGGACAAUGGGCGCAAGCCUGAUCCAGCCAUGCCGCGUGCGGGAAGAAGGCCUUCGGGUUGUAAACCGCUUUUGUCAGGGAAGAAACGCUCUGGGCUAAUACCUCGGGGUAAUGACGGUACCUGAAGAAUAAGCACCGGCUAACUACGUGCCAGCAGCCGCCGUAA
This 498-nucleotide ribosomal RNA is filed under the name uncultured bacterium. RNAcentral describes it as "partial 16S ribosomal RNA". It matches the Rfam family "Bacterial small subunit ribosomal RNA", at positions 29 to 523 of the family's 1533-position model. The record is from RNAcentral.